This is a long non-coding RNA of Gymnogyps californianus (California condor), 262 nucleotides long. RefSeq lists it as uncharacterized. The record is from RefSeq and is a predicted model, not a curated record. The transcript has 3 exons. Lineage: Eukaryota; Metazoa; Chordata; Aves; Accipitriformes; Cathartidae.
GGGUCCCAGAGCUGCUGGGAGAAGCUGCAUUGCCUGGGCGCUGUGGGAUGCACAGGUCCUCUCCCUCCGAACACUUGUCACUGCUCUCUGCUGUUUGGGGAAUGACUCUGGGUUUCCCACACGUGGGCGAGGAUUUCCAGGAUGCUAACAGCUCUUAAAAGUGGGUGAAGUGAAAUAUUAGCAAUGAUAAAAAGAAAUGAUUUGGAGGAGAAGAAACAAGAUAUUAGCACUGCGUCAGGAGUUUGCCUGCAAAACCAGAAAA